Talpa occidentalis (Iberian mole) is the source of this 168-nucleotide long non-coding RNA. RefSeq lists it as uncharacterized. Lineage: Eukaryota; Metazoa; Chordata; Mammalia; Eulipotyphla; Talpidae. The transcript has 3 exons. The record is from RefSeq and is a predicted model, not a curated record.
GAACAAAGUAAUGGUUUAUUUCUAGAUGGACUUUGAAGGUCUUGCUAAUGAUCUUAGCACAAAUUCUACAAAGUCAGUGUUUUAUUCAACACCUAAAAUAAAAGACAUUUGUAAUCAGUUACCAAGCAAAGAGGGUCAGUACCAGAAAUCACACCCAAACUCAGUGAC